This 262-nucleotide ribosomal RNA is filed under the name uncultured bacterium. Its description in RNAcentral is "partial 16S ribosomal RNA". It matches the Rfam family "Bacterial small subunit ribosomal RNA", at positions 28 to 290 of the family's 1533-position model. The record is from RNAcentral.
GAUGAACGCUAGCGGCAGGCCUAAUACAUGCAAGUCGAACGGGAUUUGGGAGCUUGCUCCUGAUGAGAGUGGCGCACGGGUGCGUAACACGUAUGUAACCUACCUUAAUCUGGGGGAUAGCCUCUCGAAAGAGAGAUUAACACCGCAUAACAUCACAUCAUAGCAUUUUGGAGUGAUCAAAUAUUUAUAGGAUUAAGAUGGGCAUGCGGAACAUUAGCUAGUUGGUAAGUAAUGGCUUACCAAGGCUACGAUGUUUAGGGGA